UGAGGCUUCCCCAGCACCUGCCAAGAAAGUCUGUGCCACCUCUGGACUUGUUGGGGCUUCACCAGUGGAACCAUCAAGAGAGCUCAUCCAGAGAUUUAAUCUCCGCAAGCUCACGGUUCCACUGGUUCGCCUGGACCUGAAACGCCAUCCUGAGCUCAUGGUUCGCCUCGCUCCAGUCGACCCUGAAGCUGCUUGCAGGGCCCUUGGACAGAGCAACAGCUGCUCAUCUUCUCAGCAGCACAGCCCAGCCUGCCACCCAUCAGCUCCUUGGUGCCAGAAGCGCAGUGCUGCCUCACCUGAGGAUUCAGAGCUGCCUCCAGGCCCUUCCAGGACAAGUCCAGAUCCUCAAGGGCGUGAAGCUUCCCCAGCACGUGCCAAGAAAGUGUUUGCUACAUCUGGACUUGGGGUUUCAUCAGCCCGGCCAGGCACACACAAAUUUCAAUUCCAGCCAGAGCUCAUGACUCCACCAUUUCCUGCGCACCAUCAAAGCACUUCUGCGGCCUCUCCAGAGAGCAGCAGCUGCACUUCUCCAGAGCAGCACUUGCCAGCCAACAUCCCAUCAGGUACGGAAUGUGUUUCUCCCCUGGCUUUUCAGAAAGAUCACAAAAAGUGACUGAAGUAUUUUGCCGCGGUGCUCUGUCAUGUGUCCAUUUGAUUGUGACAAUCAGGUGUCAAGGGUACUAGGAAGCAGGAUCAUGAAUAUCCGAACAAUCUCUGUCUGCUUUUCCCAUCCUUGCUGCAGAUUUGGAGGAUGUUCUGGCCAUUUUCCAGGCAGCCUCUGUGUAGUGGUCAAAGGGUGAGGCAAAGAACAUUUCUCCACAACUGGUCAGAGUCAGGUGAACUCCCAUUUUUCUUUGGAUGAAGCCAAACUAGGACUCUGAUGGGAUAUUGCAGAGUUUACAGAUUGUCUUUUGUUGAGAUGGAAUACAAGGGAUGGGACCACCGUGCUUUGAGAUGAUUUAUUGCUUAAGUAGCCAAAUAAGAGAUCAGUCCCGAGGCGUGAGAUUUACAGGCAACAAGUCAACCACAGCUCGAGGAAGUUAUGAGUUUCUUCUCCGCAUGGCAAUAUAUAACUUUUUAGUCCAGUAGACAGUUGACACCAAGUUUGUUUUCACUUAUUAAGCUCUUAUCACCUUUACUUGAUUUUGCCACCCUGCGUCUGUCUUUUAACCAA
RNAcentral lists this long non-coding RNA (1174 nucleotides) under Cyanistes caeruleus (blue tit). RNAcentral describes it as "lncRNA (ENSCCEG00000019852.1)". The record is from RNAcentral. Lineage: Eukaryota; Metazoa; Chordata; Aves; Passeriformes; Paridae.